UACGAAGGGGGCUAGCGUUGUUCGGAAUUACUGGGCGUAAAGCGCACGUAGGCGGAUAGUUAAGUCAGAGGUGAAAUCCCAGGGCCCAACUCUGGAACUGCCUUUGAUACUGGCUGUCUCGAGGAUGGCAGAGGCAAGUGGAAUUCCGAGUGUAGAGGUGAAAUUCGUAGAUAUUCGGAGGAACACCAGUGGCGAAGGCGACUUGCUGGUCCAUUUCUGACGCUGAGGUGCGAAAGCGUGGGGAGCAAACAGG
Molecule: ribosomal RNA, 253 nt
Filed under: uncultured bacterium
Lineage: Bacteria
Description: partial 16S ribosomal RNA
Rfam family: Bacterial small subunit ribosomal RNA
Source: RNAcentral